Molecule: long non-coding RNA, 548 nt
Filed under: Theobroma cacao (cacao)
Lineage: Eukaryota; Viridiplantae; Streptophyta; Magnoliopsida; Malvales; Malvaceae
Description: long non-coding RNA (TCAC_LNC000477)
Source: RNAcentral
UAACUUUUUAAUAGCCUUGGCGGACUCAGUUGGGAUAGCCCUCGGCCAAGGUAUCCCUGAUAAGUGAGUAUGAGAAUGGUUUUGGCACAAGCCAAAGUUUUAAGAAAUUCAUAAGCCAUGUUGAUUACUCUAUUUAUAUGAAUUGAUUUUAUUUGGUUAAAAUGAGUCGAAAGGUGAUAAAUUACAAUAUGAUGAUCUAUUUUAAUCUGUCUCCAUUUACUCAGCUUUAGAUAUUUUAGAUGGUAUUUGUUUACUCACUGAGAUUAUAUAAUCUCACCACCCUCCUUUCUACCCAUUUCAAGCUCAGGAUAGUCGGUGGAUAGCUCAUUUCGUUGAGGGCUACAGUUGGACUUGCAUCCUCAAAAACUGUAGGUUCAUAGCCUUCAUUACUUUUGGUCGUUCAUAGGGCUAUGUGUCACUGUAAAUUAAAUUUUAUACUUUGGUUAUCUGUAUUACAGUAUGUAUGAAUUUAUUUAACUUUUAUGCUACAAAAAUUAUUUAUCGGUAACUUUAUAAAUAUUAUUUUAUAAGAAAAUAGAAUAUUUUAU